GGGCAGGUGGCCGAGCGGACAAUGGCAACAGACUGUAAAUCUGUCGGCGUAGCCUACGGAGGUUCGAAUCCUUCCCUGCCCACCA
This 85-nucleotide transfer RNA is filed under the name Candidatus Omnitrophota bacterium. RNAcentral describes it as "Candidatus Omnitrophica bacterium tRNA-Tyr". It matches the Rfam family "tRNA". From Rfam's summary of the family: Transfer RNA (tRNA) molecules are approximately 80 nucleotides in length. The record is from RNAcentral. Lineage: Bacteria; Pseudomonadati; Candidatus Omnitrophota.